This 889-nucleotide long non-coding RNA is filed under the name Microcebus murinus (gray mouse lemur). RNAcentral's name for it is "lncRNA (ENSMICG00000048731.1)". The record is from RNAcentral. Lineage: Eukaryota; Metazoa; Chordata; Mammalia; Primates; Cheirogaleidae.
GGGGUGCCCAGUUUGCAGCACUUUCUUGGUAAAAGCAAACCUCUUUAAAGCAUGUCACAAUCGCUGCACACUUCAUUUUCUGCAGAAAAGGGGAAAUGCAACUGGACAUGCAGCUUAUUGGAAGAAGGUUUGGAAAUGAGGCAUGGAUAUGCAAAGGCUCGUCCCGCUGCUGUUAUAUUCCUGUCUAGAACUGCAGAGAAGAGACGUUGGGACUUGAAGAGUUGCACAUGCCAACACGCUCAGGGUUAUGUUAUCACUUCGUGGAAAGUCUUGCGCUGCUCUUAAAGUUCAUGAAAAAUCAUGUUUUCACCACCUCCGAGGGACCAAGCCAAACACUUGCCUUGUUUGGCUUUAAGGGAAUGGCUCCUUUGACGUGCAUGUGACAUGAAGACCAGCUUUUCAGCUUGGUAACGAGCAAGAAGUUUUUACUGAAUGUGUAAUGUCAGGUUUUGUCAGGUUUGUCUCAGUUUCCUUAUUUUGUUGACUAUUUUACAUUGCACCUCAGCCUCAAUUGGCCUCCAACUGUCUACAUUGCCCAGUGGCAUGUACUCUGGGAAGGAAGUUUGGUAUUACCUUAAGCACAUGUCAUAAAAGGUCGAGGCAAGAUUUGAGGAUAGGAAGUCCGGUUAUGAGAAGUCAAGUUUUAAAAGGUUAGAUCUUGGUGGUUGUCCUGAUCACUAGUGGUAUUGUGUUUAUUACACCACGUGGCUAAUGAAUCUUUGUUUCCAUUUAUUCAGAGUCAUGGAUGAGAUAACAGUCAUAAUAGUGCAUUAUAUUUAUACUUCCCUUUGUAUUUUCAAAGAAAUUUCAUAUUAUCAUUUCUUUUGGAGCCGGUUUGGUGAAGUGGAAAUAUGUUGGACUAAAGCCAAAUGAUCUGCAAAGACCAGCU